This 528-nucleotide ribosomal RNA is filed under the name uncultured bacterium. RNAcentral's name for it is "bacterial SSU rRNA". It matches the Rfam family "Bacterial small subunit ribosomal RNA", at positions 28 to 545 of the family's 1533-position model. The record is from RNAcentral.
AUUGAACGCUGGCGGCAUGCUUUACACAUGCAAGUCGGACGGCAGCACAGAGAAGCUUGCUUCUCGGGUGGCGAGUGGCGAACGGGUGAGUAACAUAUCGGAACGUACCGAGUAGUGGGGGAUAACUGAUCGAAAGAUCAGCUAAUACCGCAUACGUCUUGAGAGAGAAAGCAGGGGACCUUCGGGUCUUGCGCUAUUCGAGCGGCCGAUAUCUGAUUAGCUAGUUGGUGGGGUAAAGGCUCACCAAGGCGACGAUCAGUAGCGGGUCUGAGAGGAUGAUCCGCCACACUGGGACUGAGACACGGCCCAGACUCCUACGGGAGGCAGCAGUGGGGAAUUUUGGACAAUGGGCGCAAGCCUGAUCCAGCCAUGCCGCGUGUCUGAAGAAGGCCUUCGGGUUGUAAAGGACUUUUGUCAGGGAAGAAAAGGCUGUUGCUAAUACCAGCGGCUGAUGACGGUACCUGAAGAAUAAGCACCGGCUAACUACGUGCCAGCAGCCGCGGUAAUACGUAGGGUGCGAGCGUUAAU